AAAUUGAAGAGUUUGAUCAUGGCUCAGAUUGAACGCUGGCGGCAGGCCUAACACAUGCAAGUCGAACGGUAACAGGAAGCAGCUUGCUGCUUUGCUGACGAGUGGCGGACGGGUGAGUAAUGUCUGGGAAACUGCCUGAUGGAGGGGGAUAACUACUGGAAACGGUAGCUAAUACCGCAUAACGUCGCAAGACCAAAGAGGGGGACCUUCGGGCCUCUUGCCAUCGGAUGUGCCCAGAUGGGAUUAGCUAGUAGGUGGGGUAACGGCUCACCUAGGCGACGAUCCCUAGCUGGUCUGAGAGGAUGACCAGCCACACUGGAACUGAGACACGGUCCAGACUCCUACGGGAGGCAGCAGUGGGGAAUAUUGCAC
RNAcentral lists this ribosomal RNA (372 nucleotides) under Escherichia coli. RNAcentral's name for it is "bacterial SSU rRNA". It matches the Rfam family "Bacterial small subunit ribosomal RNA", at positions 1 to 369 of the family's 1533-position model. Lineage: Bacteria; Pseudomonadati; Pseudomonadota; Gammaproteobacteria; Enterobacterales; Enterobacteriaceae. The record is from RNAcentral.